Oncorhynchus keta (chum salmon) is the source of this 402-nucleotide long non-coding RNA. RefSeq lists it as uncharacterized. The record is from RefSeq and is a predicted model, not a curated record. The transcript has 2 exons. Lineage: Eukaryota; Metazoa; Chordata; Actinopteri; Salmoniformes; Salmonidae.
AACACACCAUCACACAUCCAUGGCCAAGCUGACUUCUUUCACAAACUCUACAAACAUUGGAUAAACUCUGAAAAAAAUGGCGGGUCUCGAUGGGGUCUUCCGGCCAGGACUAGUUGCGGCUGAUGGGGAGUUUGUGAAUAAUCAAGGGCUGAUUGCUCACCAGCUGUACAAGUCCCAUAAAGCUGCCAGAAGGGCAACACCCAGAAGAGAGAGUGGGGGAAGGACUCCCGUAUAGUUGGGGACGGUUGCAGAGGUAACAGGAGUGAGUUCAGUUUUUGAUCCCCACAGGAUCCAGCAAGACCGGGAGCCCAGGAGACGGUGUCCCGGAGAGGGUCUCAUGGGGGAGACCUAAUUAUUUUCUUUUGAACUAUUAUUUUAAUAAAUACCUCAGAUCUGAGCUAA